UNCCUGCUUGGCCUACUGGGUGAGUGUCAU
This 30-nucleotide non-coding RNA is filed under the name Rattus norvegicus (Norway rat). The record is from RNAcentral. Lineage: Eukaryota; Metazoa; Chordata; Mammalia; Rodentia; Muridae.